AGCAGCCGCGGUAAUUCCAGCUCCAAUAGCGUAUAUUAAAGUUGUUGCAGUUAAAAAGCUCGUAGUUGAAUUUCGGGGUUAGUAGGUUGGUCAUGCCUCCGGUAUGUACUGAUCUCACUGAUUCCUCCUUCCUUAUGAACCGUAAUGCCAUUAAUUUGGCGUUGCGGGGAAUUUGGACUGUUACUUUGAAAAAUUAGAGUGUUUAAAGCAGGCUAACGCUUGAAUACAUUAGCAUGGAAUAAUGAAAUAGGACGUUCGAUCUUAUUUUGUUGGUUUCUAGGAUUGACGUAAUGAUUAAUAGGGAUAGUUGGGGGCAUUAGUAUUCAAUUGUCAGAGGUGAAAUUCUUGGAUUUAUUGAAGACUAACUACUGCGAAAGCAUUUGCCAAGGAUGUUUUCAUUAAUCAAGAACGAAAGUUAGGGGAUCGAAGACGAUCAGAUACCGUCGUAGU
Molecule: ribosomal RNA, 450 nt
Filed under: uncultured Glomus
Lineage: Eukaryota; Fungi; Glomeromycota; Glomeromycetes; Glomerales; Glomeraceae
Description: SSU rRNA
Rfam family: Eukaryotic small subunit ribosomal RNA
Source: RNAcentral